GGAUGCGAUCAUACCAGCACUAAAGCACAGGAUCCCAUCAGAACUCCGAAGUUAAGCGUGCUUGGGCGAGGCUAGUACUAGGAUGGGUGACCUCCUGGGAAGUCCUCGUGUUGCAUUCC
This 119-nucleotide ribosomal RNA is filed under the name Triticum aestivum (bread wheat). The record is from RNAcentral. Lineage: Eukaryota; Viridiplantae; Streptophyta; Magnoliopsida; Poales; Poaceae.